Molecule: ribosomal RNA, 454 nt
Filed under: uncultured eukaryote
Lineage: Eukaryota
Description: bacterial SSU rRNA
Rfam family: Eukaryotic small subunit ribosomal RNA
Source: RNAcentral
UUGUCACAUGCUUGUCUCAAAAAUUAACCCAUGCAUGUCUAAUUACACACCUCAACAUGGUGAAACCGCAAAUGGCUCAUUAAAUCAGUUAUGAUUUCUUUGAUCAUGUCUACACAUGGAUAACUGUGGUAAUUCUAAAGCUAAUACAUGCACACGGCCCUGACUUACAAAGGGGCGCUUUUAUUAAAUCAAAAUCAAUCAGGAGCAAUCCUGUUAUUGUGAUGACUCUGGAUAACUUUGUGCCAACCGCAUGGCCUUGCGCCGGCGGCGUAUCUUUCAAAUGUCUGCCCUAUCAACUUUCAAUGGUACGUGAUCUGCCUACCAUGGUUGUAACGGGUAACGAAAAAUCAGGGUUCAAUUCCGGAGAGGGAGCCUGAAAAACGGCUACCACAUCCAAGGAAGGCAGCAGGCGCGCAAAUUACCCACUCCCGGCACGGGAAGGUAGUGACAAAAA